CACCAACCCGGCAGCUGGUAGAAGAACCACGCCAAUGCGGUUGGGAUACACUGGGACUCAUAGUGGAGAGGCAGUGCUGUGGAACAAUUGAAAAUAAAUAUAAGUAAAGAAGUUGUGACACUACACACUUACCCGUCAAGCCCCACCAAGUUGGACAGCCACUCCGGAGUUUGACGACCCCUGAGGCAAACAUGAGUCUGAAGAGUGCCCAACGUAUCAACCACAUUGUCACCAGGUUUCUGGGACGAUAUUCAGACCAGCCACGGCGACUCACUGGAGCUACUAAUAUGGUAAAGACUGUCAGAAGCCAUACAACAGUACUAUACUGUGCUAACUUACAGGCAAUCGGCAUUGUAACCAAGAAGUUGAAAUGCAGAAAUCACUGUUUCAGAAGUGGUCAAAGGAAUGGCUGUUAAGAUUCAAUGUCACGAAAUGCAAGAGGAUGCACCGAAGGUAGCUCGUACCAACGGUAAGGAGGUACAGAAUAUCACCUGUACCAACGGGACGAAGAAAC
Homarus americanus (American lobster) is the source of this 514-nucleotide long non-coding RNA. RefSeq lists it as uncharacterized. The transcript is spliced from 4 exons. The record is from RefSeq and is a predicted model, not a curated record. NCBI's taxonomy places the organism in Eukaryota, Metazoa, Arthropoda, Malacostraca, Decapoda, Nephropidae.